UUUGAAUCUCAUUAUGAAUGC
RNAcentral lists this non-coding RNA (21 nucleotides) under Caenorhabditis elegans. Lineage: Eukaryota; Metazoa; Nematoda; Chromadorea; Rhabditida; Rhabditidae. The record is from RNAcentral.